RNAcentral lists this ribosomal RNA (253 nucleotides) under uncultured bacterium. Its description in RNAcentral is "partial 16S ribosomal RNA". It matches the Rfam family "Bacterial small subunit ribosomal RNA", at positions 524 to 776 of the family's 1533-position model. The record is from RNAcentral.
UACGUAGGGUGCGAGCGUUGUUCGGAAUUACUGGGCGUAAAGCGUGCGCAGGCGGUUUGUUAAGACAGAUGUGAAAUCCCCGGGCUUAACCUGGGAACUGCAUUUGUGACUGGCAAGCUAGAGUAUGGCAGAGGGGGGUAGAAUUCCACGUGUAGCAGUGAAAUGCGUAGAGAUGUGGAGGAAUACCGAUGGCGAAGGCAGCCCCCUGGGCCAAUACUGACGCUCAUGCACGAAAGCGUGGGGAGCAAACAGG